AGCGAACGCUGGCGGCAGGCCUAACACAUGCAAGUCGAACGGAUCCUUCGGGAUUAGUGGCGGACGGGUGAGUAACACGUGGGAACGUGCCCUUUGGUUCGGAACAACUCAGGGAAACUUGAGCUAAUACCGGAUGUGCCCUUCGGGGGAAAGAUUUAUCGCCAUUGGAGCGGCCCGCGUCUGAUUAGCUAGUUGGUGAGGUAACGGCCCACCAAGGCGACGAUCAGUAGCUGGUCUGAGAGGAUGAUCAGCCACACUGGGACUGAGACACGGCCCAGACUCCUACGGGAGGCUGCAGUGGGGAAUCUUGCGCAAUGGGCGAAAGCCUGACGCAGCCAUGCCGCGUGAAUGAUGAAGGUCUUAGGAUUGUAAAAUUCUUUCAGCGGGGACGAUAAUGACGGUACCCGCAGAAGAAGCUCCGGCUAACUUCGUG
Molecule: ribosomal RNA, 433 nt
Filed under: uncultured bacterium
Lineage: Bacteria
Description: partial 16S ribosomal RNA
Rfam family: Bacterial small subunit ribosomal RNA
Source: RNAcentral